GACGAACGCUGGCGGCGUGCUUAACACAUGCAAGUCGUGCGGUAAGGCCCUUUCGGGGGUACACGAGCGGCGAACGGGUGAGUAACACGUGAGCAACCUGCCCUUCACUUUGGGAUAACUGCCGGAAACGGUGGCUAAUACCGGAUAUGACUUCCUCACGCAUGUGGGGUGGUGGAAAGCCUUCGGGUGGUGGGGGAUGGGCUCGCGGUCUAUCAGCUUGUUGGUGGGGUGAUGGCCUACCAAGGCUUCGACGGGUAGCCGGCCUGAGAGGGUGACCGGCCACACUGGGACUGAGACACGGCCCAGACUCCUACGGGGGGCAGCAGUGGGGAAUAUUGGACGAUGGGCGGAAGCCUGAUCCAGCAACGCUGCGUGAGGGAUGACGGCCUUCGGGUUGUAAACCUCUUUCGCCUGCGACGAAGCGAGAGUGACGGUAGCAGGUAAAGAAGCACCGGCCAACUACGUGC
This 467-nucleotide ribosomal RNA is filed under the name uncultured bacterium. RNAcentral's name for it is "partial 16S ribosomal RNA". It matches the Rfam family "Bacterial small subunit ribosomal RNA", at positions 28 to 508 of the family's 1533-position model. The record is from RNAcentral.